UCCGUAGGUGAACCUGCGGAGGGAUCAUUACACAAAUAUGAAGGCGGGCUGGAACCUCUCGGGGUUACAGCCUUGCUGAAUUAUUCACCCUUGUCUUUUGCGUACUUCUUGUUUCCUUGGUGGGUUCGCCCACCACUAGGACAAACAUAAACCUUUUGUAAUUGCAAUCAGCGUCAGUAACAAAUUAAUAAUUACAACUUUCAACAACGGAUCUCUUGGUUCUGGCAUCGAUGAAGAACGCAGCGAAAUGCGAUAAGUAGUGUGAAUUGCAGAAUUCAGUGAAUCAUCGAAUCUUUGAACGCACAUUGCGCCCUUUGGUAUUCCAAAGGGCAUGCCUGUUCGAGCGUCAUUUGUACCCUCAAGCUUUGCUUGGUGUUGGGCGUCUUGUCUCUAGCUUUGCUGGAGACUCGCCUUAAAGUAAUUGGCAGCCGGCCUACUGGUUUCGGAGCGCAGCACAAGUCGCACUCUCUAUCAGCAAAGGUCUAGCAUCCAUUAAGCCUUUUUUCAACUUUUGACCUCGGAUCAGGUAGGGAUACCCGCUGAACUUAAGCAUAUCAAUAAGCGGAGGA
This 569-nucleotide ribosomal RNA is filed under the name Alternaria alternata. RNAcentral describes it as "eukaryotic LSU rRNA". The stretch from base 196 to 349 matches the Rfam family "5.8S ribosomal RNA". The record is from RNAcentral. Lineage: Eukaryota; Fungi; Ascomycota; Dothideomycetes; Pleosporales; Pleosporaceae. RNAcentral also lists the same sequence under 2 other names.